AAAUAAAUUACACUCAAGACAAUAUUAAAAUUAAUUCGAAGUUACAAAUCAAUUUUCUAGUAGGAAUUGAUUUAUUUAAAUAACUUGACUAGGUUAAACUCAUAACCAUUUAUCCACAAGUUAUAAUUAAAUAAUUACACACAAGAUAAUAUGAAUUUAUGUAAAAUAAAUUUUAAGUUACAUAAUUAAUUUCCUAGACUCAACUUAUUUUUCUAGACUCAAUAACAUUAUUUGUCAUCAUUAAAACCGUGAAUACAACACGGUUCAAUUAUGGAAGCGUAACGAAUGACCCAUGAUACAAUGAUAAUGGUAAUUUGUACUACAUUGAUACCAUAAGGCAUCCAUAUAACCUGUAACACUAUAUUAUUAAGAUAAUAUAAACUGAACUACAACAAAAAAAAAAAAAAUCAAGCAAAAAUAUAAAUUUAUACCUCUUGAGCUGUCAUGUCAUCUAACCUCCAUCAGUUGUAACACCCCGAUUUUUGAAAUAGUUUAUUAUUUAUUUUAUUAACUAUAUUAUAUAUUUUAGUUUAUUUAAUAAUUAAAUUCAUUUAUCUUUAGGAUUUAUUUUGUAAAUAAUUUACAUGCUUAUAAUGGGACAAGUUUAGUAAGUAAGUUAACUAAUAAUAGUAAUAAGAGGAAAUAUACUCACAUAUAUGUAAGAAAGGGGAAAAGGGAAAAAUAAAACAAGAAAAGAAAAAAAAUAUAUAACAACAAAAGAACGACAUUUCAUAAUGCUUCACCACCGUUUAACCUCUUCACCAUCUCCAACAUCUUCACCAUUUUCUUCUCUCAAAAUUCUACCUUCAUCACACAACCACCACCGUGCCAACGACACAACCACAACCGCCACUAGAGGUGACGCCAUAGAAGUAGGCGGCGCAAGGAAGAAAAGGGGGGUCGUCGUUGCUGUAAUUUGGAGCAUUUGGUGCUCGAAUUAGGGGAGUUUGCAAGUUAUUUCUCAUCCUCAAUCUUCUAUAUUAGUGGAUUCCGGUUUCAUUAAGGAGCCGUAUUCACUGAGCUAGUUGGUUUGAUAUAGUUUAAAGGUACAUGAAGGCUUAGAGUCGGGGUAUGGGCGGAGAGCAACGUCCACUAGUUUUGCGUAAAUAUAGUUAUAAUAGUUCUGUUUUGGUGAAUUUCUUAUAUAUAUAAUCAAUAUUUUGAGACUUAGGGUUGUAAAUAUUAAUCCACCUAAAUCUGUAUUCGGCUGGGUUGUAAUAGUUUAAAAUAAGCUUUAAUUUAGUUUUGGUGCAGGUAGUUCUUCCUUAGCGAUUAUUCUCGUAAUAAUCGUGGAAUAACACGUUUGGAUUUCGAGUAGUUAUAACCGGAAUUUUGUUGGUAUUUGAAUGAGUGGAGUUGUUGGGAAUUUGGAAUUUGGAUUGCUGAUUUGUUGAAACAGGUUUAAAAUUCGGACGCGAGUCCUAAAUUAAAUUUUAGGCAGUCCAUUUUUCAAACGGAACUCUGCCGAAUUUUCUAUAGAAUUUUAAUAUUAUUUAAUUGAAUUAAUCACUCGAAA
Long non-coding RNA from Beta vulgaris subsp. vulgaris (sugar beet), 1516 nucleotides. RefSeq lists it as uncharacterized. The transcript has 3 exons. The record is from RefSeq and is a predicted model, not a curated record. Lineage: Eukaryota; Viridiplantae; Streptophyta; Magnoliopsida; Caryophyllales; Amaranthaceae.